GCUCUUUUCUAACCUCUCCCUCUAGUGGCAGGAAGGAAUUAAAUUGAUUUGUUCUAGGAGGAUCAUAAAUAAAUUACCGUACCUAGGUAUUUGGCACUAAAUAUUCAUGAGGUUCAAUUUUUUAUAUGAAAAGUUGGCUUAAGAUUGCUUUCUGUGUUUGGGGGGAAUUGUUUGUUGUCCUGAUAUGUUGCUGCUUUAGAACCACUCUGAAAACUUUUUUUCCCUUUACUACAUGAUCCCACUCAAUCAGGGAUCAUGCAGAGAACAGGAUGUCAUGACAUCACAUGACAACAUCCCCAAGAGUAAAUAAAGCUCUUCCAUAACUAUGACUCUUAAUAAGGGAACAGUCCCUUCUGUCCAGGCAAUUGUUUGAUGCUCCUUGCAGGCACUGUAGUGACAGUUUCAUUGCCUACCAGCAGCAUACAAUGGAGCUCUCAUUGCUUGUGGCUGCACUAGACUAGUUGGGGCAUAAUGCAACUGUACAUCCCUUUAAUAGGAAUGCAGUGCAGACAGACAGAUUCCCAAAUCAUAGGAGCAUACUAAACAACUUUAUAGCCAGACUACUUUUCUAUACUUUUCUAGUAUUGUCAUGCUCUGACUGGCAAUAGCUCUCCAUGGUCCUGGGUAGAGAUAUUUCUCAUCAUCUACAGAUCCCUCUAAUUGUAGGUGGCAGGAUUUGAACAUGGAAGCUUCUAUGUGGAGGAAAUAUGUCCUAAUGCUGACCAAUGAGUUUCACUGCAUUGUUUCAUUGCAUUAUUUUUAACGGGAUGUGACUUCAGAUGUGCCAUUCAUAAUCAACAAUGCCCAUUGGAUCAGGGCAGAGAACACUGGCCGAGUUACGUCCACAAGAGGAGCAUAUUCCUUCUUCCAAACACUCACUUUUCUGUAAUUUGUGUUGCAGUCUUUUAAAUGAAAUGAUAAAAUAGGAAAAAUCAACAAAAGAAGAAAACAAUUGAGUGUGGUCAGGUAAACAGUGUAAGCACAACCAGAAGCUGCACCAGAAGUUCACAUUACACUGCUUGAAGAAGGAACAUAUGUUCUCAAGUAAACUUAGUGCUGUACAAAAAGAAAUGCCAAUUUUUUUGCAAUGUAACAAGCUUUAUUAAUAGUCCCACAAUACAUUACAUAUAUAUAGUACAUCUUGUAGAGUAAAUUGAAAAAGAAAUGCCUAUUUAAAACUUUGCAUUUAUUUUCCGCAGCUGUUCUCAGUAACUACAUCCCCUGGAAAUUACGGACAUAGCUAGUCAAAGAUGGAAGCAUUUAUCCCAUUCCAGAGUUCAUUUUGUCCAUGCAACCAGAGUCCAUGACAUGUAUAUCUCUAUGGAGCAGACACCUAACACACAUAAAUAAUUUCAGAUAUCCUACUGAUACUGCUUGUCAGGCUCCCAUCCCAAGUCACUAUGUCAGCAACUCUUACUGGUAAGCAAGGAAGAGUUCUUUAUUCAGGCUAAGAGCAGUACAGGCUCAGUAGGAAACACAAGGCCCGAAGUCAAGAUUCCAAGAUUCAAGGACAAAGAAAGAGGUUCAUAAUGGGAGCUUUGAAGCUGUCUUGACAGAUGACAUGUUUCUCCUCCCAAGCUUUUAAAGAUGUGGUAGAGUGAGCUCCCUCAUGGGACACGCUCACCCUAUAAAUAUGCUGUAC
Molecule: non-coding RNA, 1642 nt
Organism: Podarcis muralis (Common wall lizard)
Lineage: Eukaryota; Metazoa; Chordata; Lepidosauria; Squamata; Lacertidae
Source: RefSeq, a predicted model, not a curated record